UCUGAUUGCAUUAGGCUGUUCUUCUUGGUUGGCAGUUCUUGGGUAUAUAAUUCUAUUAAAAUGCUGUGGUGUUGCAUGCUACAUCUCAAAAUUCAUGCUAAAGUAGGAAGGUCUUUCAAAUUCUACAAACUGAAAAUAGAACUCUAAAUAUAUAGAAGAAACUGACUAAAAAUAGAAUAGAAUCUGCAAUUAAAACUCUAAAUAUAUACAAGAAACUGACUACAAAUAGGAUAGAUGAGAUCACUAUUGUUUUGCAGGUGUUUUUCUUUAAGCUAAAAUGCUAAAUAUGUUCCUGAACUUCCUCACUUUACCUAAAUAAGUCCAUAGAUUUUUAUUGUAUCCAAAUAAGCCUAUACCCUAUAAUUUGUACCUGGAUAGGCUCGGAUAGGCUCUUGUAUUGACAAAAAGAUGUUAUGCAUAUCAUGUGAUCUUAUCGGUCAUUAGGUCCAUGGUCAGCUGGCAUCUUAUGUAUGCAUAGUGGACAUUGAUGUGGUUUUUUUGAUGUGUUAAAAUUAGUUUUUUUUUUUUUUAAAUUAUUUGUUGAAAUUAGUUGAGUGGGAAAAUUUUUUGCUUGAAACGUGGUCAUUUGAGUUAACAUGGUGAUGUAGCCGAAAGGUUUAGGGCAAUUAGAACUCAACAAUUAGGGCUAGAAUAGGGUUGAUUGUGUUGGAACAAUAAAAAGAUAAUUGGGUUUUCAAAGAAACCUCUUGAAUAAAUAUUCAAAAUAACAAAAGAUGAUAAUAAUAAUCUUCUACCUAAGAUACUUAUUUAUAAUAGUUAAGAUAAAUCCUAAUCAAAUAGUAAUUUUAAUCCUAAAUAAAAACUUAAAGUACUAAAAUUCUAAUAAAGAUAGGAAAAAGAAUUUCAAACUAAAUAAAUAAAAUAAAAUCCUAAACUAACUAAAAUACUAAAUAAAUUUUCAUAUGCGCCUGCAUCAGUCCCCUCGGGUCAGAAAAGACUCGACUCCGACGAGUAGGCCUUGACAUACUCCUCAUAGAUGUCGGGAUCCACUCUUUUCAAUUCUUCUUCUGCAAUCCAAGUGCUUUCAUUAGCAGGUUUACUAAGCCAUUUCACUAAAAAUCGUCUAUACGGGUUCCCUCGUCUAGAUCGAACCUCUUUUACAUCUAGCACAUCCUCAAUAACUUCAACCUUAGCAAUUGGAAGGUGCUGAAUUUGAGCGUCUAUGGUAGAUGCAGUUCCAUCACAUCCAUCAAAUGGAUACAAGUCCAAAAUAUUGAAAAUAGGACUGAUUUGUAACUCAGGUGGUAACUCAAUUAAAUAGGCAUUUGAACUGAUUUUCUUUAGCACCUUACAAGGUCCAAACUUUCUAGACUUGAGUUUGUGAUAAGUACCCUUAGGAAAUCUUUCUUGCCUCAAGUGCACAAGUACUUGAUCACCUUCCUCAAAUUCCUGCUUGCGACGAUGUUGAUUUGCUGUAAAAGAAUAUUCUGCAUUGCUGGCCUUUAAAGCAGCCUUUACCUCUUCAUGAAUUUUCCGAAUAUGGUCAGCAAAUAACUCUCCUUCAUUACUCACUCUAGCUUCUUGUGGUAGGGGUACUAAAUCUAGCACAUGUUGAGGUUUUAACCCAUAUGCAGCCUCAAAUGGUGUCUUCUUUAUGCUUCGAUUGACAGAAUUGUUGUAAGCAAAUUCAGCUUGGGGUAUGACUAAAUCCCAAGUCUUUGGGUUAUUUUGAAUAAGACAUCUUAACAUAUUACCCAAACUUCGAUUCACAACUUCUGUUUGACCAUCUGUUUGCGGAUGGCAAGUACUAGAAUACUUCAACUCUGUCCCAAAUUUCCUCCACAAAGUUCUCCAAAAAUGUCCCAUAAACUUCACAUCUCUAUCAGAAACAAUGGAAGUUGGAAUUCCAUGUAAUCUUACAAUCUCACGAAAGAAUAAUUCAGCAAUAUGAGUUGCAUCAGAAGUCCUAAAACACGGAAUAAAAUGUGCCAUUUUUGAAAACCGAUCCACCACCACAAAGAUAGAAUCAAAUCCUUUUGCUGUCUUUGGAAGUCCCAAAACAAAACCCAUACUCAAAUGAAUCCAAGGUGCAUCUGGCUCAGGUAAAGGAACAUAUAAACCAGUGUUUUGAGCACUGCCUUUACCAAAUAAACAAGCUGGACAUCUUUUCACCAACCUCUCCACAUCUCGGCGCAUUUUUGGCCAAUAAUAACGAUCAGCCACCAUUGCCAAAGUCUUGUCUCUGCCAAAAUGUCCUCCUAAACCAUUCCCAUGAAGUUCUCUAAUGAUUUGCUCCCUUAAAGAUCCUUCUGGAAUGCACAACUGGUUACCUUUGAAUAAAUAAUAUUCGUGCAACAUAUAAGGUAAAUUUUCAGCUUGUAAUGAACCCUGCAAAUCAGCUAUUAUCUUGCUGAAAUAUGAAUCAGAACUAUACUGAUUUUUAAGUUCUUCAAAUCCUGUGACUUGCGUGCUCAUAACUGAUAACAUUUUACAUCGCCUACUCAAAGCAUCAGCCACAGUAUUAGACUGCCCAGAUUUAUAUUUUAAAGAGAAAUUAAAUUCAUUGAGAAAAGAACUCCACUUAGCAUGUUGGUUACUAAGCUUUUUCUGCGAAUGCAAAUACUUUAAAGCUUGAUGGUCAGAAUAAACAGCAAACCCACGAUAAGCCAAGUAGUGCUGCCAAUGACGAAUGACCCUUACCAAAGCAUAAAACUCUAAGUCAUAAGUUGAAUAACGUCGUCUAGAGUCUGUCAACUUUUCACUAAAAAACUCUAUAGACCUUCCAUCUUGACUAAGAACUGCUCCAAUUCCUACAUGUGAAGCAUCACACUCAACAACAAAUAACUUCUCAAAAUUUGCUCUGAUACCACUUGAUGUAGCCGAAAGGUUUAGGGCAAUUAAAACUCAACAAUUAGGGCUAGAAUAGGGUUGAUUGUGUUGGAACAAUAAAAAGAUAAUUGGGUUUUCAAAGAAACCUCUUGAAUAAAUAUUCAAAAUAACAAAAGAUGAUAAUAAUAAUCUUCUACUUAAGAUACUUAUUUAUAAUAGUUAAGAUAAAUCCUAAUCAAAUAGUAAUUCUAAUCAUAAAUAAAGACUUAAAGUACUAAAAUUCUAAUAAAGAUAGGAAAAAGAAUCUCAAACUAAACAAAAUAAAAAAAUCCUAAACUAAUUAAAAUACUAAAUAAAUUUUCAUAUGCGCCUGCAUCACGUGGUCGUGUGAUCUUAGCCAAUUUCACCACAUUUGAAUAUCCAUGUCAUGUUAUGAAUGUGAAAGAUCUCAGUUGACCGUGAGUCUAAAGGCCAUUAAGGUCAAGUGACAUUUUUCCAUCAACAUAGGGGUUUAUCUAAGUAAAAAUCUAGAAUAGGAACUUAUUCUGAGUACAAUAAAAAGGUAAGGUUUAUUUUGUUUUUUGAAAAAUUUGGGAUAAUUCAGGGCCUUAUUAAGCACUUUUAGUUUUUCUUUUUCCUUGUUCCUUUUGGGAGAGUUUCUUGUCUGCUUUUUCUGAGUUUUACUUUGGCCUUUGGGUACAAAAAAAAGUGUCAGGGUUAGUGCUAUUUAAUCAAAGGUUUAAGUUCGGAUAUAGUUGCUGCACUUUUUCGACAUUUGAUUUGGUCUCUAAACUUUAAUUUCUUAAAAUCACAAUUUGUGCUUUCAAAUUUCUCCAACCAAGAAAAAUUCUAUAACACCCAAUAAAAGUACAAGACUGAAUUCUAACAAAAUUCUACAUAGGAUAAAUUUUUUAAUAGGUUGCCUAAGCUAAUUUAGAUCUGUUUGGUUAAUGUUUCCUGCUUUCUAUUUUGUGUUUUCUAUUUCGACUAAUUUUAUUUUGUUUUAGUUUUAAAAAUUUGAAAGCAAAAUGCAUGUUUGAUGUUUGGUAAGCAGCCUCAUUCCAUGUUGAAAAAAAAAAAAAAAGAAUGAUGUUAUUGCAAACAUAAUAAUUCAAUAUAGAAGUAAACUAUUAAAAAAUUAAUAAUAAAUAAUAACAUGAUGUAAUAUAAUAGAUUCUGAUAAAUUUAUAAAUUUGUGUAAUAUAUUCUAUCAUGUUAUUACUUAUUUUCUAUGAAAAAUCUUUCAUAUGUUUCAUUUUAAUAAUAAUAAUAGUAGUAGUAGUAAUUAACUAUUAAACAAUAAGUUGGCCCAAAGUUUAAAUGUUAACAUAAUGUAUUAUAUGUUAAACAUUAUAAUAAAACAUGAAGACAUAGCCUUUAGUUGUUAAAUAUCAAAUAUU
Molecule: long non-coding RNA, 4190 nt
Filed under: Theobroma cacao (cacao)
Lineage: Eukaryota; Viridiplantae; Streptophyta; Magnoliopsida; Malvales; Malvaceae
Description: long non-coding RNA (TCAC_LNC001686)
Source: RNAcentral